Lutzomyia longipalpis is the source of this 319-nucleotide long non-coding RNA. RefSeq lists it as uncharacterized. Lineage: Eukaryota; Metazoa; Arthropoda; Insecta; Diptera; Psychodidae. The transcript is spliced from 3 exons. The record is from RefSeq and is a predicted model, not a curated record.
AAUAUGUUAUUUUUCUGCAUUCACAUAAUCUCUUCACUUUUUUGAGUGAAUUUUUAAUCCGCACACACCAUCAUUUGUUACACGUCAGUGAAAUAAACAAUGCACAUCUUCCGCCACAUCCCCAGAGCAUCGUCGAUGGAGAUUGAUUGGCCUGAUUGCUGGACGAGCGAUUAAUGAGGUUGAAAUAGAGCCGACAAUCUGGGUGGCGUGAGGAAGUGAUGACGGAUUGAAGGUAGGAGAAUGGCAGCACUUGAUGUGAAUCAUACGAUGUCUUUUGAAGAAAAAAAAUAACUUUAAAAAGCUACAAUGAUUUGUCGAG